AUUGAACGCUGGCGGCAGGCCUAACACAUGCAAGUCGAGCGGAGCGGCGGACGGGUGAGUAAUGCCUAGGAAUCUGCCUGGUAGUGGGGGAUAACGUCCGGAAACGGGCGCUAAUACCGCAUACUAUCAGAUGAGCCUAGGUCGGAUUAGCUUGUGGGUGGGGUAAGGGCCUACCAAGGCGAAGAUCCGUAACUGGGCGGAGAGGAUGGUCAGUCACCCCGGAAUGGAGACACGGUCCAGACUCCUCUGGGAGGCGGCAGUGGGGAAUAGUGGACAAUGGGCGAAGGCCUGAGCCAGCCAUGCCGCGUGUCUGAAGAAAGUCUUCGGAUUGUAAAGGACUUUAAGUUGGGUGGCGUUACCAACAGAAUAAGCACCGGCUAACUCCGUGCCAGCCGCCGCGGUAAUAC
Molecule: ribosomal RNA, 407 nt
Filed under: uncultured bacterium
Lineage: Bacteria
Description: partial 16S ribosomal RNA
Rfam family: Bacterial small subunit ribosomal RNA
Source: RNAcentral